UACGUAGGGUGCAAGCGUUGUCCGGAAUUAUUGGGCGUAAAGAGCUCGUAGGCGGUCUGUCACGUCGGCUGUGAAAACCCGAGGCUCAACCUCGGGCCUGCAGUCGAUACGGGCAGACUAGAGUUCGGUAGGGGAGACUGGAAUUCCUGGUGUAGCGGUGAAAUGCGCAGAUAUCAGGAGGAACACCGGUGACGAAGGCGGGUCUCUGGGCCGAAACUGACGCUGAGGAGCGAAAGCGUGGGGAGCGAACAGG
This 253-nucleotide ribosomal RNA is filed under the name uncultured bacterium. Its description in RNAcentral is "partial 16S ribosomal RNA". It matches the Rfam family "Bacterial small subunit ribosomal RNA", at positions 524 to 776 of the family's 1533-position model. The record is from RNAcentral.